CUACUAGUGAUGUAACGAAUAUUCGCAUUCGCAUUCGCAUUCGCGAAUAUCCGCAAAUUUUUGAAUAUUCGCAUUCGCAUUCGCAUUCGCAAAAUUUAUGCGAAUACUUAGCGAAUGUUUUAGCGAAAGUUCAUCUUGAGCUACAUUAGAGUGGUGAAAAUGUGUCGCUUUCUUUUUACAUUUGUUAAUGGCUGCAAUGAUUGAUUCUUGUGACUUAAGCCCUUCUUUAACAACAAGUUGGAUUUGGUGCGAUGAACAAUCAAUGUUUUUAAUGCUCAAUAAAGAAAUACCUUUUUUCAUGUUAGUGCCACCAUCUCUUACAAUACAUAAUACGUUUUCUUUGGGAAUUCCCCACGAUGACAACAUAGUUUCUAACUUUGCCGCUAUAUUUUCUCCUGUAUGUCGCCCAUCGUUGAAUACUUCUGCUUUCAAUACAAUCAUUUUUCGUUCAAAAUUAUUGGUAAUUCCGUGACAAGUGAAACUUAUACGAAACGUCAA
Molecule: long non-coding RNA, 498 nt
Organism: Pectinophora gossypiella (pink bollworm)
Lineage: Eukaryota; Metazoa; Arthropoda; Insecta; Lepidoptera; Gelechiidae
Exons: 2
Source: RefSeq, a predicted model, not a curated record